This 742-nucleotide long non-coding RNA is filed under the name Gallus gallus (chicken). The record is from RNAcentral. Lineage: Eukaryota; Metazoa; Chordata; Aves; Galliformes; Phasianidae.
GCCUUCUUUGUGUUUCUGCUUGCUGUCCAGUGUUGUACAAAGGAGAUCUUGCCAUGUCCCCAGUUUCUCCAUCGCCUCCUUGCAUGCAGCAGCACACUUCUUUAUUUGCAUUAUUCAGUAGCUCUUCAUUCUUCUCUUUCCACUCUUGCUCAUGCUUUUCCAGAAUUUUGUGAACUGUCCUUCUGUAGGCCUUUUGUAAGCAUGCCUUCAGUUUGUCCUUGCGCUGAUGAUUUAAUUCAACAGGAGCAUCAGGAUCUUUCUCCUCCCAAGAAUGCUGACUAUAGGUGCUUUUAACUAGCUCUUCGUGGACUUCUCUCAACAAACACUCAAGCUCAAUCAGAGUCUUCUCCUCGUACCGAUUAAUUUCAUCCUGAAGUCUCUUUGUUUCCUGAGCCUCCCACUCUCGCUGCUUUUGGUCUAGUAUCAUCUUCAUUUCUGCCUCCUUCUGAGCAGAAAGAUCAUUCACCUGCUUUGCAAGAUCCUCCUUUGUUGUUGCAAGUACCUCUUUAAUCUUGUUUCUGUGGUCAUCUAAGAACGAUCUGUAGUCUCUCUCAUUUUGCUCUUGUAUUUGUGCAAUUUCUUCUUGCUUUUCUUUGUUCCACUGAGCACGGGCUUUUGCUACUGCUGCUUUGAUAGUCACAGGGAUUUCUUCUUCCUUUAGCUCCAACUCUUUCUUGAGAGAAACUACUUUUUCCUCAAGUUCUCGAAUUAUCGAUCCGGACUGCUCUGUACACUCACGUUC